UACGGGGGGGGCAAGCGUUGUUCGGAAUUACUGGGCGUAAAGGGCGUGUAGGCGGCCAACUAAGUCCGACGUGAAAUCCCCAGGCUUAACCUGGGAACUGCGUCGGAUACUGGAUGGCUUGAAUCCGGGAGAGGGAUGCAGAAUUCCAGGUGUAGCGGUGAAAUGCGUAGAUAUCUGGAGGAAUACCGGUGGCGAAGGCGGCAUCCUGGAUCGGCAUUGACGCUGAAGCGCGAAAGCGUGGGGAGCGAACAGG
This 253-nucleotide ribosomal RNA is filed under the name uncultured bacterium. RNAcentral describes it as "partial 16S ribosomal RNA". It matches the Rfam family "Bacterial small subunit ribosomal RNA", at positions 524 to 776 of the family's 1533-position model. The record is from RNAcentral.